CAGUAGCCGCGGGAAUACGAAGGGUGCAAGCGUUAAUCGGAAUUACUGGGCGUAAAGCGUGCGCAGGCGGUUGUGUAAGACAGGUGUGAAAUCCCCGGGCUUAACCUGGGAACUGCGCUUGUGACUGCACAGCUAGAAUAUGGCAGAGGGGGGUGGAAUUCCACGUGUAGCAGUGAAAUGCGUAGAGAUGUGGAGGAACACCGAUGGCGAAGGCAGCCCCCUGGGCCAAUACUGACGCUCAUGCACGAAAGCGUGGGGAGCAAACAGGAUUAGAUACCCGAGUAGUCCCUGUCUCUUAUAC
This 301-nucleotide ribosomal RNA is filed under the name uncultured bacterium. RNAcentral describes it as "partial 16S ribosomal RNA". It matches the Rfam family "Bacterial small subunit ribosomal RNA", at positions 509 to 807 of the family's 1533-position model. The record is from RNAcentral.